UACGGAGGGUGCAAGCGUUAUCCGGAUUCACUGGGUUUAAAGGGUGCGUAGGUGGAGAGGUAAGUCAGUGGUGAAAUCUCCGGGCUUAACCCGGAAACUGCCAUUGAUACUAUCUUUCUUGAAUACCGUGGAGGUGAGCGGAAUAUGUCAUGUAGCGGUGAAAUGCUUAGAUAUGACAUAGAACACCAAUUGCGAAGGCAGCUCACUACACGAAUAUUGACACUGAGGCACGAAAGCGUGGGGAUCAAACAGG
Molecule: ribosomal RNA, 253 nt
Filed under: uncultured bacterium
Lineage: Bacteria
Description: partial 16S ribosomal RNA
Rfam family: Bacterial small subunit ribosomal RNA
Source: RNAcentral